Micropterus salmoides (largemouth bass) is the source of this 4892-nucleotide long non-coding RNA. RefSeq lists it as uncharacterized. The record is from RefSeq and is a predicted model, not a curated record. Lineage: Eukaryota; Metazoa; Chordata; Actinopteri; Centrarchiformes; Centrarchidae. The transcript is spliced from 4 exons.
CAAGAAGUUUCGGAAAGGCCCAUCAUAGCUUCGCUGUUUUCCAUAACAACCGGGGACGCUUUCUCCUGAUUGGCUGCUGCUACAUCCUGUGUUUUCAGGCCUCGCUAGCAGAUGCUAUUUUAAACCACACUCCCUUCACGAGCUGGGGAUUAACAAGUACAUCUUAGAAAAGGCGUAAAUCAGUACUAUCAUACUUGUCUAUCGGCGGCCGUUCGAGUGAAGGAAUCUGAUAAACAUGAGUUAGUAACUUAGACACGGAAAAGAAAGCUGAGCUGCACCGACUGUUGACAACGGUUCUUCUGCGGAAUUACUGACACCAACGUUAACUUAAUGUGAAGCUUCCAGCUCCUCAUUAAUGAAUAAAGACAAGUCAGCGGUGAAAACAGCUCUUCUGUUGUGUCGCCAGAAUGCACAAGGGGUGGUUUGCUGGACGCCAUGUCUGCCGUUGAGUAAGAAUAAUGCCUUGAAGAUAGUGAACAUUAGCUCGGGAUUUUUUACUUAAACCAGUCAAAGCCGUUCCUUUUAGGAACAUCUACUUUAAGAAAGCUUACGUCGUGGUGAAGUGGAUGCUGUGGGUUCUUUGCCACAGUCACAGGUGAAAUCAGUGCCACUGUUAAAAUAAAAAGCUUUGCUGUAUCGUCUGGGAUGGAUCACAACAACCCAGAGAUGAUGAAAGAUACAUCACCUGGCCUGACAGCAGAUUUGGAUAAUUCUGAGUCCUUCUGUCCAGAAAAGGAGCAGUUUCAGUGCGCUGAGCUCUCAGGACCUCCAUGUUAAUGAGCCGCUAGAUGACAAAAACAAGCAGAGAAGUAUUAAAAAUUUACCAUAAGUUUUGAUACAGUAUGUAAGUUUUCAUCAUCAGAGUAGCUACGACCUAUGAUUGUACAGCUGCUCUUGUCAUUUCUUGCUUGCCUCUUGCUUGCAAACUCCACACAGAGCCCAUGGCUGGAUUCAAACCUGCCCCACAAAUUGAAAUUAAUUAAUUAUUAGGAUGUAAAUACUCACUCACACACAGACAACAUGCCAUGUUAAUUAAUAAACGAUUUUACUUCAUUAAUGAACGUUAGUUCGCUAGUGUGAAUAAAUAAUUUGAGUGCACAACUCACCGUUUCAGCAACGCUGAUGGCAUUGCUCCUCAGCUCCAGACAUCUGAUACCAUUUCCUCUGCCGAUGCAUCGGCCGUCAGUAAUAGUAGUAGUAAUAGUACCCACUCAGUGUAGCUGGUCCAUUACUGUGUGGUGGCUCGGGUGUAUGAGGGGCUGGUCUGUGUGUUGGUGGGGGAACAACAGCAGAAUGCCCAGCUGAGAGAACAAAGAUGAAAAAAGAAAAAACUAAAUUAAUGAGAUGUUAUAAUUUUUCAAGGACUUAAAGCAUACUUUAGCCACAGUAACAUCUUCAGAGUAAAGAAAACAUCUUACUGUGUGGCGGCUCAGGUGUAUGAGGUGUAGAAGAGGUCUCAGAAGGUGAGAGGGUUCCUGAAAAGAUCAAUGUAUGGUUCAAUUAAAACCAACAAACUCUAAUUACUUUAUAUUACAUCUUUAUUUAUUCACUUUUUACCAUAUUUGUACCACAGCUGCACAGCCUUCAAGAUGUAUAACAAUCAUAUAGGCCACAGUGCAGCAUUGUUUAGAAGAAAAUACAACUGAAUAUAUAAAUAUUGGCUACAAAGACAGAAAGACAACAAGAUAAGCAAAAGCAUUUAUCAGUAUAUGACCGAAGUAUAACAGAAUUACCACAGAGCAUAAGGCAAUACAUUUUAUUGAUUAACAUGACAUUACACUGUAAUUACCAUGUACCAGUGGCUCCAGCAGUUUCCUUUGGGUGACAGGCAGGUGGUCUGGACAGUGAAGCAGAGGGUACUAAAACAGACGUUAUUAUGUCAGUUAGAAACAACAGUCGCUCUUGAUUAAGACAAAGACCACUAAAAUAUUACUUCACUUGCUAAGUCUUAGAAAUUGAAGGGGUACUUCAUUAUAUUUAAAUAAACUAUUGGAAACAUAAUAGUUAUACACUAUUCAUUCACACAUUUUUGUAUGGAUCGAUGGUCAAUUAAAAUACUCUUCUUUAGCCUUUAUAUGUCUAAGCAGGGAAAGCAAUAUGAUUUUUCUUGCAUGAAGACAGAAAUGGGUACUUCCCCUCACUACUGACAAAAUCAGUUCAUGAACACUAUUGGUUACCAGGAACACCAGCAAGUGAUGAUGAUGGAGCAGCAGCUGGCAACACACAAGAAAGAUUCAAUGGUAUAACAGAUUGGCAUUUAAUCACGCUGUUUGAGCCAAAAUCCAUUUGAAUGUUCAUUGAUUUCUUUUUUGAUAUACUACUGGUACCAGUUCCUUGGUGGGUUAUAUGCUCUCCAGCUCCUUAUCAUCACCAUUCAUCACUGUGGCACAGACAGAAAGAAUUAGUGUUGUAAAAACACGUAUUUCUAUAGUGUACUCAUUAUUUUGGUUAUAAGCAUUUGUUCCAUGACCGAAUUGCAUUAUUUAUUGCUGCUGUAGUCUAUAAUUGAAUUCUCCUAAGUGUUUUCACAUAUUUUGAUAGAUUAUUUUACGUGUCCAAAAAAUCGGGAGGGGUUUAAUAACCGAGAAAAAAAAAUCCUAUGAAAGUGUGAAAUUUACAAGAAGAAAAAUCAGAAAUUCCCCGAAAUUAAUGUCAUAAUAAAUAAUAAGAAAUUACUCCGUUUUCUUCUCAAUCCGCCCAAUACAUCUACGAAACUAUCCCGUUAAUUAAUUAAGAUUCACUGAGGCUGCAGGGCUCGCUCUCUGAAUGUUGUUGUGUUCAGAACUUCAUUGCAACCGCAGUGGAGCAAAUCAGGAUGAAAUCUAAACAUAUUUUCUGAAGUGGUGUGUAUUAAUAUCCUACUUCUCAUCAUUAACACUGAGUACAGAUGCGGUGUGUAGUCCGCGUAUACAAGAUAACCUCAAGUUAACCACAAACAAAACCUGCUUAAUUUAGAGAUGCGGCGUAAAUUGCCAUGGCAACAGACCUCGGGUAACACCUAUCCAUGCGUUAUGGGUUACAGUAUGGGUUAAUCGGGAAGUUACACCCGACGUCACGAAGUUACUCCUGAAGUUACAUGAAUAAGCCAGUUACCCCGCUUCGUAGUACAGACCAGAGGUGCUGAGCGAAUAUAUAACUUUAUAUGGCGAAACAAAACGCACUAUUUAAAAAAAUCACAUCUGGUCAGAGAAAAUAAUAAAGGAGGUCUAAAAACACUAGACUUUGAAUCCAUGGUAGGAGUGUUUAGAAUAAAUUGUAUCAAAGCCUUUAUGUCACAGCCUGAAUCAAUUUGGUUUCCUAUCCCCAGAAACAUAUUUUUAAAAAAUGGAAGGGUUAGAAUGUUUGUUAUAAUGCGACUUCGAAAUUAAUUAAUUAACUACCUGUGAAGGUGUCAGAAUUUCAUAAACAAGUACUAUUCUACUGGAAGAUGAUAUUUUCCCACAAUUUUACUCCACAUGGCACCACCUUGUGGAACAAUAGAACAGUUAACAAUUAAUAGGAAAACCUUAUUUAAUCAAAUUUGGUAUGACAAAAAAGUUAUUUUUAUAACAGACCUAAUGGAUGAUAGUGGCAGGAUUUUUCAAUUAUUCUUUCAUUUAAAGAAAAUUUUAAAAUGCAGUGUUCAGCAAAAUAUGUAAAGCAAUACCACUACCUCUUGUGAACCUAAUACAAAACACGAUCUUACAAUCAAGUGUACAAGUAGUCUUGCCAGAUUUAAAGGUUGGACAAUUACAAAUCAGCUAUAGGAAAUGCAAGAAUAAAGCUAUUCGCAAAGUUUUCAACCUUAAAUUCUUUCAUGAUGCAAAAAAGUAAACAUUAAAAUAAUAGAUAAUAAAUUACUAAUCAAGGAUAAAUAUCAUAGACUGUAUAUAAAAAGAUAAAUAUGAAUACCUAAAAUGACCGAUUUCUCCAAAAACAAAAGAAAUGCAAUUUAAAAUUAUUAAUGGUUAUUAUCCAGCAGCAGAAACAUUGAGAAAAAGAUUCAGAUUUGAGGUUGACCUCUGUUGUUUCUGUCUGUAAGAGCCGGAAACUACUGAACAUCUUUUCUUCUCAUGUCAAAUUACGAUACAAUUCUGGCAAAACAUGAAAGACUAGCUUAAUGUCAGGAUUGAGAACUUAAAUAAUUUUGAAGCACACCAGAUUUUAUUAUACAAUGAAAACCUGUCCAAGGAACGAUGGGAAUUAUGGGAAAAUAUCAUAUUCACGUAUGCAAAUGGAAGAAGCAGAAACCCUCGUUGAAUUGCUUCAGGAAUGAAUUAAAGUUUUAUUUAUCUUUUUUUUAGUAUUGUCGGAUACACACCAGCCAAUACAAAAAUUGUGUCACACUAUGUUGCAAUAUUUGGUGUUUUAAUUUAGAAUAAACAGAUCAUUUCACCUGGAUUACCUUUGUUAUGGGUUUGGAACAAUAACUGAUGUUCUCAAAACUUAAUGUAACUUAUUCGUAGUAAUGUACAGUUCAUCAAUAAGUCUACCCUCAGCUAAAACUUGAGAUAGUUUUUGUUUUGUUUUCUCUGGUUGUUUGUUGGAAAAAGGAAAUAAUCUGCUACAUUUUCGAUGUGUAACUAAUGACAAAACUCUCAAAACUACAAAUGUAUGACACUGUAAAGAUAUGGUGACACAGAAAGAAGACCUAAACAAUAACUGUUGAAGGAAUGGUAAUAAUGUGCCUUAAUUAUAAUUUCUUAAUUGUUUAUUUUAUUUAAAUUUUCUAGUUUUUUUUGUGUCCUAAGUUACCUAACCAUGUGAGUUUAUUUUAUUAAUAUAUUAUAUUAAUAUAGUUUGUUUUAAUCAUAGCCUUGCUGUUCUCUUUUAUGUUUGUAUGGUUUUGGCAAACAACUUCCUGAUGAGAUUUUGUACAAUUGUGAAUUGUAAAUAAAAAACAAAAACACUGA